RNAcentral lists this ribosomal RNA (1059 nucleotides) under Planktothrix agardhii KL2. RNAcentral's name for it is "partial 23S ribosomal RNA". It matches the Rfam family "Eukaryotic large subunit ribosomal RNA", at positions 1 to 841 of the family's 3401-position model. Lineage: Bacteria; Bacillati; Cyanobacteriota; Cyanophyceae; Oscillatoriales; Microcoleaceae. The record is from RNAcentral.
GGGGGGUGUGGUCGCUCUGGAUAGCCCGUAGCUUUUGGUGGAUGGACUCGUCUCUAGACCAUAUUUCUGACCUCAGAUUAGGUGAGACUACCCGCUGAACUUAAGCAUAUCAGUAAGCGGAGGAAAAGAAACUAACUAGGAUUCCCUUAGUAGCGGCGAGCGAACCGGGAGAAGCCCAGCACCGAAUCCCGCGGCCAGUCACUCGGACGCAGGGAAAUGUGGUGUUUGAGGGGACCGUGAGCGUUAGUCCAUGGUGAGGCCUAAGUUCUCCUUGAACGAGACGAGCACACCCAUAGAGGGUGACAGGCCCGUCCUGGCUGACCGCGACCGCGCGCAGGGUCUACUUCCUCAAGAGUCGGGUUGCUUGAGAGUGCAGCCCUAAGCGGGAGGUAAACUCCUUCUAAGGCUAAAUAUGACUACGAGACCGAUAGCGAACAAGUACCGCGAGGGAAAGUUGAAAAGAACCUAGAAGUGGGAGUUCAAUAGUGCGUGAAACCGUCCAGGGGGUUAAACGGGUGGGCCCUCGAAGGUCGAACGGAGCCGGGUUCUGAGGGAGUCGUGGGGGGUAGUCUUGGUGCGGGUACUGUCGUGAGGCAUGACCGACCGAGGCUAUUCGCUCUGCUUCUCUCUCAUAGUUCCUCGGUCCUAGUAGGACUCUGCGACCGGCUGGGUGGCGGACAUACGCGGUGGGUGUCGGAGGGAGUGAGGGCUUCGGCUCGAUCUUCAGUCGCCCCGCUUGCCGUCCGUCCGCUCGGCCGUGACCUGUUCCUCGCCGACCAUAGCGAGCGUCAGAGCAGAGAGUAGUUUGUCGGGUCCCACCCGACCCGUCUUGAAACACGGACCAAGGAGUCUAACAUGUGGGCGAGUCGUCGAGACAACACGAAACUCGCGAGGCGCAAUGAAAGUAAAGUUCGGCCGGGAUGACCGUGCCGCGACCGGAGAUCCCGUCUCGAACAGAGCGGGCGCAUCCGGGUGGCGUUCCAUUAGCAUCGCAUUAGCAUGCGGAACGGACACAGAGCCCACACGUUGGGACCCGAAAGAUGGUGACCUAUGCCUGAC